AUUGAACGCUGGCGGCAUGCCUUACACAUGCAAGUCGAACGGUAACAGGUCUUCGGACGCUGACGAGUGGCGAACGGGUGAGUAAUACAUCGGAACGUGCCCAGUCGUGGGGGAUAACUACUCGAAAGAGUAGCUAAUACCGCAUACGAUCUGAGGAUGAAAGCGGGGGACCUUCGGGCCUCGCGCGAUUGGAGCGGCCGAUGGCAGAUUAGGUAGUUGGUGGGAUAAAAGCUUACCAAGCCGACGAUCUGUAGCUGGUCUGAGAGGACGACCAGCCACACUGGGACUGAGACACGGCCCAGACUCCUACGGGAGGCAGCAGUGGGGAAUUUUGGACAAUGGGCGAAAGCCUGAUCCAGCAAUGCCGCGUGCAGGAUGAAGGCCUUCGGGUUGUAAACUGCUUUUGUACGGAACGAAAAAGCUCCUUCUAAUACAGGGGGCCCAUGACGGUACCGUAAGAAUAAGCACCGGCUAACUAC
Molecule: ribosomal RNA, 479 nt
Filed under: Delftia acidovorans
Lineage: Bacteria; Pseudomonadati; Pseudomonadota; Betaproteobacteria; Burkholderiales; Comamonadaceae
Description: bacterial SSU rRNA
Rfam family: Bacterial small subunit ribosomal RNA
Source: RNAcentral